Molecule: ribosomal RNA, 516 nt
Filed under: uncultured bacterium
Lineage: Bacteria
Description: bacterial LSU rRNA
Rfam family: Bacterial large subunit ribosomal RNA
Source: RNAcentral
CGCAGCGAAAGCGAGUCUGAACAGGGCGUUCAGUAGCUGGGCGUAGACCGAACCGGAUGAUCUAUCCAUGGCCAGGUUGAAGGUGCGGUAACACGCACUGGAGGACCGAACCCACUAGUGUUGCAAAACUAGGGGAUGAGCUGUGGAUAGGGGUGAAAAGGCUAAACAAAUCCGGAGAUAGCUGGUUCUCCUCGAAAAGCUAUUUAGGUAGCGCCUCGUGUAUCACUCUCGGGGGUAGAGCACUGUAAUGGUUGGGGGGUCGUCUAGACUACCCCGCCAUAGCAAACUCCGAAUACCGAGAAGUGCGAGCACGGGAGACAGACGGUGGGUGCUAACGUCCAUCGUCAAGAGGGAAACAACCCAGACCCACAGCUAAGGUCCCAAAUGAUGUGCUAAGUGGAAAACGAAGUGGGAAGGCAUAGACAGCCAGGAAGUUGGCUUAGAAGCAGCCAUCCUUUAAAGAAAGCGUAAUAGCUCACUGGUCGAGUCGUCCUGCGCGGAAGAUGUAACGGGGCA